UACGGAGGGGGCGAGCGUUGUUCGGAAUUAUUGGGCGUAAAGGGCGCGUAGGCGGCCGACCAAGUCGGGUGUGAAAUCCCUCGGCUCAACCGAGGAACUGCACUCGAUACUGGUUGGCUCGAGUCCGGGAGGGGAUGGUGGAAUUCCCAGUGUAGCGGUGAAAUGCGUAGAUAUUGGGAAGAACACCGGUGGCGAAGGCGACCAUCUGGACCGGAACUGACGCUGAGGCGCGAAAGCCAGGGGAGCGAAUGGG
This 253-nucleotide ribosomal RNA is filed under the name uncultured bacterium. RNAcentral describes it as "partial 16S ribosomal RNA". It matches the Rfam family "Bacterial small subunit ribosomal RNA", at positions 524 to 776 of the family's 1533-position model. The record is from RNAcentral.